CCCUUAGAUGUUCUGGGCGGCCCGCGCACUACAUUGGCACUCUCAAUAAGUUCCUAGAUCUAAAACUUUGGGGUAUUCGAUUAAGUGGUGUCGUGACUGGGAUUAACCCUUGCAAUUAUUGGUUACGAACGAGGAAUUCCUUGUAAUCGCGGUUUAUCAGCCCGCGUUGAAUGCGUCCCUGCCCUUUGUACACACCGCCCGUCGCUCCUACCGAUGAAUCGUCCGGUGAAGUUCAUGGAGUGGUGGUUGUUCCAGCUGCUGUCGAAGUGAAAUGGACCUCACGAUUUAGAGGAAGGAGAAGUCGUAACA
This 309-nucleotide ribosomal RNA is filed under the name uncultured eukaryote. RNAcentral describes it as "partial 18S ribosomal RNA". It matches the Rfam family "Eukaryotic small subunit ribosomal RNA", at positions 1470 to 1796 of the family's 1831-position model. The record is from RNAcentral.